CAGUCUUCACUUCUGCUCCAGUUUCUUCUCAAAAUAGAGAUGCUGGACAACGCCAAGGUUUCCAUUUGUAUCUUGAGUACCUUGCCCUACUCUCUCCCAGCUACUCCCAGUUACUUGGGAAGCGCGCCUAGAGAUGAAUAGUACCGACUGCACACCUCAAGCGCUUACCUUGUUAAGUCCACGUCCCCUUGUAAUAGCCUUGGGCUGUGAUGCAUGGUAGAAUUCUUUGGUGAUGACAGGGUCUCACUGUGUAGUGAGCUAGCACAGACUAGCCUGGAACUUGGCAAUGCCUCGGUUUCAGGUCUGAGACACCAUAUCAGGCUGGAUAAAGUGUAUUCUUUCUAUUUCUUGCAGCUUGUGGGCUUAUUGCUCAUUGGCGUAGCUGCCUGGGGCAAGGGCCUCGGUGUGGUGUCCAGCAUUCACAUCAUUGGAGGAGUCAUUGCUGUGGGAGUCUUCCUUCUCCUCAUUGCAGUGGCUGGACUGGUGGGUGCCGUGAACCACCAUCAAGUGCUGCUUUUCUUUGUAUCCUGACCUAAGUGAUUGGGAUUGGGGGCUGAGCAGGCUUUUCCUGGGCAGGGGACCUCAGACAUGUCUCUUCGUUCUUAUUCUGUAAUCCCCAGAAGUUGAUGAUCCCUCCCACCCCCAACUUGAUAAAGGUGCAGUUUUGGGAACAGAGAAGGGCCUUGAACUCUGCCCCCUUGCCUGCCACAUUGCAGUUAGAAUUACAGUGGUGAGAUUUUAAAGACAAAAACCGGGAUCAUGCUGUGUGGUAGUCCUAGCUUGGAACUCACGCUAGGCUGGCCUCCAUACAGGUUUGCUUGCCUGUCUCUCCCUGAAUGAGGUAUUUUAAAUGGAAACCAGAUUCUUUUGCCAUAACUUCUUCUCAGUAUAUGAUCAUCCUGGGUUUGGUCUUCAUCUUCCAGUUUGGAAUCUCUUGCUCAUGUCUGGCUAUUAACAGAAACACACAGGUAAGGGUAAGCCCUUUCAGUACUUGCUUGCUUUCCCCACCUUUUAAACCUUAGUCUGACCCCCUCAUCCUGUCCUGCUCAG
This 1050-nucleotide long non-coding RNA is filed under the name Rattus norvegicus (Norway rat). RNAcentral's name for it is "long non-coding RNA NONRATT026819". The record is from RNAcentral. Lineage: Eukaryota; Metazoa; Chordata; Mammalia; Rodentia; Muridae.